RNAcentral lists this ribosomal RNA (773 nucleotides) under Salmonella enterica subsp. enterica serovar 4,[5],12:b:-. Its description in RNAcentral is "partial 23S ribosomal RNA". It matches the Rfam family "Bacterial large subunit ribosomal RNA", at positions 2030 to 2802 of the family's 2925-position model. Lineage: Bacteria; Pseudomonadati; Pseudomonadota; Gammaproteobacteria; Enterobacterales; Enterobacteriaceae. The record is from RNAcentral.
GACUCAGUGAAAUUGAACUCGCUGUGAAGAUGCAGUGUACCCGCGGCAAGACGGAAAGACCCCGUGAACCUUUACUAUAGCUUGACACUGAACAUUGAGCCUUGAUGUGUAGGAUAGGUGGGAGGCUUUGAAGCGUGGACGCCAGUCUGCGUGGAGCCGACCUUGAAAUACCACCCUUUAAUGUUUGAUGUUCUAACGUGGACCCGUGAUCCGGGUUGCGGACAGUGUCUGGUGGGUAGUUUGACUGGGGCGGUCUCCUCCUAAAGAGUAACGGAGGAGCACGAAGGUUGGCUAAUCCUGGUCGGACAUCAGGAGGUUAGUGCAAUGGCAUAAGCCAGCUUGACUGCGAGCGUGACGGCGCGAGCAGGUGCGAAAGCAGGUCAUAGUGAUCCGGUGGUUCUGAAUGGAAGGGCCAUCGCUCAACGGAUAAAAGGUACUCCGGGGAUAACAGGCUGAUACCGCCCAAGAGUUCAUAUCGACGGCGGUGUUUGGCACCUCGAUGUCGGCUCAUCACAUCCUGGGGCUGAAGUAGGUCCCAAGGGUAUGGCUGUUCGCCAUUUAAAGUGGUACGCGAGCUGGGUUUAGAACGUCGUGAGACAGUUCGGUCCCUAUCUGCCGUGGGCGCUGGAGAACUGAGGGGGGCUGCUCCUAGUACGAGAGGACCGGAGUGGACGCAUCACUGGUGUUCGGGUUGUCAUGCCAAUGGCACUGCCCGGUAGCUAAAUGCGGAAGAGAUAAGUGCUGAAAGCAUCUAAGCACGAAACUUGCCCCGA